AAACAACUGAAAAAGUACAUUGAUUUGGUUCACACGACUACAGAGUACGAAACCCAAUAAGCAUGUAGCACUAUGUCUUAGACAAGGUCGUUUAUCAAUUCUGAUCAAUGCCUGUGUCUUGUUCAUUCCUAUAGGCCCAUGGCCAUGUGGUCAUACUCCUUAAUUGGGCUUUGUUCCUUGUCAGCUGUUUUUACCUCCACAAUUUUAGUGUAGCCGAAAGGAAAUAGUUGUGCAAAUGUUCCUUAGU
This 247-nucleotide unclassified non-coding RNA is filed under the name Hevea brasiliensis (rubber tree). Lineage: Eukaryota; Viridiplantae; Streptophyta; Magnoliopsida; Malpighiales; Euphorbiaceae. The record is from RNAcentral.